This 860-nucleotide ribosomal RNA is filed under the name Oenococcus oeni. Its description in RNAcentral is "bacterial LSU rRNA". It matches the Rfam family "Bacterial large subunit ribosomal RNA", at positions 457 to 1930 of the family's 2925-position model. The record is from RNAcentral. Lineage: Bacteria; Bacillati; Bacillota; Bacilli; Lactobacillales; Lactobacillaceae.
CUCCCAAGGCUAAAUACUAACUAGUGACCGAUAGCGAACAAGUACCGUGAGGGAAAGGUGAAAAGAACCCCGGAAGGGUAGUGAAAUAGUUCUUGAAACCGUGUGCUUACAAGAAGUUCGAGGCCGUUAAUGGCUGAGAGCGUGCUUUUUGUAGAAUGAACCGGAGCGUUACGAUUGCGUGCAAGGUUAAGGUGCAAAGACUGGAGCCGUAGCGAAAGCGAGUCUUAAUAGGGCGAAUCAGUACGUAGUUGUAGACCCGAAACCGAGUGACCUAUCCUAUCCACCGAAUGAGUAAGGUUUCCCCCGGAAGGCUCGUCCGCGGGGGGUUAGUCGGGACCUAAGGCUAGGCUGAAAAGCGUAGUCGAUGGACAACAGGUUGAUAUUCCUGUACCGAUAUUUAAUUGCCGAAGGAAGGACGCAGAAGGAUAACACAGGCCACUAUUGGAUGUGGUUUUAAACAGUUAGUCUUCAUAAGAGUCAAAUGCUUUUAUGUUUAAGGAUAAGCUGUGAAUGUACCAAGUUUACUUGGAAAUUGUGUGAUUUCACGCUGCUGAAAAAAGUUUCGUAGGAAGAAAAUAUUGCCCGUACCGCAAACCGACACAGGUACUCAAGUGGAGAACACUAAGGUGAGCGAGUGAACUAUUGUUAAGGAACUCUGCAAAAUGAGUCCGUAACUUCGGAAGAAGGACUGCUGGUUUUAUACCAGCCGCAGCAAAUAGGCCCAAACAACUGUUUAUCAAAAACACAGGUUUCUGCAAAAUCGUAAGAUGAAGUAUAGGGGCUGACGCCUGCCCAGUGCUGGAAGGUUAAAAGGAGGACUUAGCUUCGGCGAAGGUCUUAAUUGAAGCCCCAGUGAACGG